UACGAGGGGUCCAAGCGUUGUUCGGAAUUAUUGGGCGUAAAGCGGGUGUAGGUGGUUCUGUAAGUCAGAAGUGAAAGCCCUGGGCUCAACCCAGGAAGGGCUUUUGAUACUGCAGAACUUGAGUGCAGGAGAGGAUAGUAGAAUUCCUGGUGUAGUGGUGAAAUACGUAGAUAUCAGGAGGAAUACCGGUGGCGAAGGCGGCUAUCUGGCCUAGCACUGACACUCAGACCCGAAAGCGUGGGGAUCAAACAGG
RNAcentral lists this unclassified non-coding RNA (253 nucleotides) under uncultured Pseudobdellovibrionaceae bacterium. Its description in RNAcentral is "uncultured Bdellovibrionaceae bacterium contains 16S-23S intergenic spacer region". It matches the Rfam family "Bacterial small subunit ribosomal RNA", at positions 524 to 776 of the family's 1533-position model. Lineage: Bacteria; Pseudomonadati; Bdellovibrionota; Bdellovibrionia; Bdellovibrionales; Pseudobdellovibrionaceae. The record is from RNAcentral.